Molecule: long non-coding RNA, 1179 nt
Organism: Cicer arietinum (chickpea)
Lineage: Eukaryota; Viridiplantae; Streptophyta; Magnoliopsida; Fabales; Fabaceae
Source: RefSeq, a predicted model, not a curated record
UUCCUAAGUUAACUAAAGAAUAACAAGUCCGGUGUGCCAACCCUUUCAUUAUCGUUCUUCUUCAUCUUUCUUCAAACCCCUUUCAUUUUUUCAUCACAUCGUUCCUUCUUCUUCUUCAUCUUUCUGCAAACCCACAAACCCACGAAUCCAAACCCGCGAAUUCAAACCCGCGAAUCCAAAUCCAUUUUUCAUCCUUCAACGUUCGUUUUUCAUCAAACCCAACCACAUUUAACCUUGUGAAAACGUUUUCGUCCUUCAUCAGGGAAAACGUGAAUCGUCAAUGGCAGCUUUUAGCCUUCAUCGCCGGCGAGUUGGUCCGGCGCAGCUUUCAGUCAAUUUAUUUUACUAUUGAGAAGUGUUUGUGGCUUUCUCCGUCAUCAUCUUCUCUACCAUCGAUGAUCGGGUUGGUCGAAGAGUCUUGUUUAUAACGGGUGGCAUUCUUAUGUUUUUCAGUCAAAUUGCGCUGGCAGAGGCGUCCGGUUCGCACGGCACAGGGAGAAUAUCAAAGGGCAAUGCUACACUGUUAUUAGUGUUGAUGUGUUUUUACUCUUCAGGUUUUGGUUGGUCAUGCGGUCCUCUAUUAUGGCUAAUUCCAAGUGAAAUUUUCCCAUCGACAAUACGAAGCAUAGGACAAAGCAUAGCUGUUGCUGUGCAGUUCAUAACUAUAUUUGUGUUAUCUCAGACAUUCUUGACAAUGCUAUGUCACUUAAAGUUUGGUGCUUUCUUGUUUCAUGCUACUUGGAUUGUAGUAAUGACCCUAUUUAUUAUAUUGUUCUUGCCAGAAACCAAAGGACUUCAUUUGGAUUCAAUCUAUGCCAUAUGGUGUAAACACUGGUUUUGGCGCUGCUAUGUUAAAGGAGAAGUUCUUCGAAAUCAGCGAUGAGUUUUUUUUAUAGCUAGUUGUUGUAUAGGCUCAAAUGUUUUGUAUAUUAUAGCAAGGUUAAAAAUAUUGAUCAGGCUGAUUCUUGCAAGAUUACUCCGGCCAAAUUUUCUGGUUCUAAAGAAGUUGUGCUGCUUCAUUCUCGAAAAUCAGAGUAGUAACAGACUAAAUGAUCAAGAUGCGGAUAUUUGGAGAAUCAAAACCAUUCGAAGAUGAAGAAAUGAUGAAUGUCCGACAACGUUGUGCAAACUUGAUUCUUGAACUAAUAGAAAAUGCUUGAAGCACUUGUAUCAUUUUAG